Molecule: ribosomal RNA, 166 nt
Filed under: uncultured bacterium
Lineage: Bacteria
Description: partial 16S rRNA
Rfam family: Bacterial small subunit ribosomal RNA
Source: RNAcentral
UAGGGAAUCUUCGGCAAUGGGGGGCAACCCUGACCGAGCAACGCCGCGUGAGUGAAGAAGGUUUUCGGAUCGUAAAGCUCUGUUGUAAGAGAAGAACGUGUGUGAGAGUGGAAAGUUCACACAGUGACGGUAACUUACCAGAAAGGGACGGCUAACUACGCGCCAG